RNAcentral lists this ribosomal RNA (352 nucleotides) under uncultured Coriobacteriales bacterium. RNAcentral's name for it is "partial 16S ribosomal RNA". The record is from RNAcentral. Lineage: Bacteria; Bacillati; Actinomycetota; Coriobacteriia; Coriobacteriales.
GGAGUCUGGGCCGUGUCUCAGUCCCAAUGUGGCCGUUCAUCCUCUCAGACCAGCUACUGAUCGUCGCCUUGGUAAGCCGUUACCUCACCAACUAUCUAAUCGGACGCGAGCCCACCCUUCACCGGAUUGCUCCUUUGACCCCUUCGCCAUGUGACGUUGUGGUCUUAUGCGGUAUUAGAACACCUUUCGGUAUCUUAUCCCCCUGUGAAGGACAGGUUGCUCACGCGUUACUCACCCGUCCGCCGCUAAAACAUAUAUCUUCCGGCCGAAGCUUUCCGUUACAUGUCUCCGCUCGACUUGCAUGUGUUAAGCACGCCGCCAGCGUUCGUCCUCGAGCCAGGAUCAAACUACU